This 328-nucleotide unclassified non-coding RNA is filed under the name soil metagenome. Its description in RNAcentral is "partial contains 5.8S ribosomal RNA, internal transcribed spacer 2, and large subunit ribosomal RNA". The stretch from base 1 to 120 matches the Rfam family "5.8S ribosomal RNA", at positions 35 to 154 of the family's 154-position model. The record is from RNAcentral.
GAUGAAGAACGCAGCGAAAUGCGAUAAGUAAUGUGAAUUGCAGAAUUCAGUGAAUCAUCGAGUCUUUGAACGCACAUUGCGCCCCUUGGUAUUCCGAGGGGCAUGCCUGUUCGAGCGUCAUUAUAACCCUCAAGCUCAGCUUGGUGUUGGGGCCUGCUGCACCGGCAGCCCUUAAAAUCAGUGGCGGCGCCAUCUGGCUCUAAGCGUAGUAAUUCUUCUCGCUAUGGAGUCCUGGUGGAUGCUUGCCAUCAACCCCCAAUUUUUCUAUGGUUGACCUCGGAUCAGGUAGGGAUACCCGCUGAACUUAAGCAUAUCAAUAAGCGGAGGA